UGGCACCAUGGCCCCCAAACUCAUCACCGUCCUGUGUCUGGGAUUCUGCCUGAACCAGAAGAUCUGCCCACAUGCGGGUGCUCAGGACAAGUUCUCCCUGUCAGCCUGGCCGAGCCCUGUGGUUCCCCUAGGAGGACGUGUGACUCUCUCCUGUCAUUCCCAUCUUCGAUUUGUCAUAUGGACAAUAUUCCAAACAACUGGGACCCGAAGCCAUGAGUUGCACACUGGCCUUUCCAACAACAUCACCAUCAGCCCUGUGACCCCAGAACACGCAGGGACCUACAGAUGUGUUGGAAUUUACAAGCACGCCUCAAAGUGGUCAGCUGAGAGCAACUCCCUGAAGAUCAUCGUCACAGGCUUGUUCACAAAACCCUCCAUCUCAGCGCACCCAAGCUCCCUGGUGCAUGCAGGAGCCAGGGUGAGCCUGCGCUGUCACUCAGAACUGGCCUUUGAUGAAUUUAUCUUAUACAAAGAGGGGCACAUACAGCAUUCCCAGCAGCUUGACCAGGGGAUGGAGGCUGGGAUCCAUUACGUCGAGGCUGUCUUUUCCAUGGGUCCUGUAACGCCUGCCCAUGCAGGAGCCUACAGAUGCUGUGGUUGUUUCAGUCACUCCCGCUAUGAGUGGUCGGCUCCCAGUGACCCCCUGGACAUUGUGAUCACAGGAAAAUACAAAAAGCCUUCUCUCUCCACCCAGGUGGACCCCAUGAUGAGGCUGGGAGAGAAGUUGACCCUCUUCUGCAGCUCUGAAAUCUCAUUUGACCAGUACCAUCUGUUCAGACACGGGGUUGCUCAUGGACAGUGGCUCAGUGGAGGGCAGAGACACAGGGAAGCAUUCCAGGCCAACUUUUCUGUGGGCCGUGCAACGCCAGUCCCUGGCGGGACCUAUAGAUGCUAUGGUUCCUUCAAUGACUCUCCCUAUAAGCCCCCAGUGACCCGCUGCAACUUUACACCACAGGAAACACUAAGAGUACUCCUCUGUCAUUCACAGAAUCCACCCCUGAAUCUGACACACCUCGCCCUCAAGGACAGUCCAGCAACCUGCAUAUGCUCACUGGACUCUCAGUAGCCAUCAUCUCCAUUGGCGUUUGCCUCUCUGCUUUUAUUGGUUUCUGGUGUUACAUAAAAUAUCACACCACCAUGGCAAACACAGAGCCCACGGAAGGCCAACGGACGGAUGAAGAGGAGCCUGCAGCAGAAGAGACACAGGAGAUCAUAUAUGCCCAGUUAAACCACCAGGCCCUCUCACAGACAGGAUUCCCUCCUGCCUCCCAGUGUCCCCACUACCUCUCGGAGGAUCCUAGUAUCUACAUCACUGUCCACCAAGCCCAGGCUGAGGCCAGAGCUGCCCCCAGUCUUUGGCACAAAGGGCAUUAAUACG
RNAcentral lists this long non-coding RNA (1378 nucleotides) under Homo sapiens (human). Its description in RNAcentral is "novel transcript". The record is from RNAcentral. Lineage: Eukaryota; Metazoa; Chordata; Mammalia; Primates; Hominidae.